Molecule: long non-coding RNA, 1657 nt
Organism: Anser cygnoides (Swan goose)
Lineage: Eukaryota; Metazoa; Chordata; Aves; Anseriformes; Anatidae
Source: Ensembl
AUGAGAGCCAUGAAAAGCAAAGGAGAAAGGAUCCUCCUCUCAGAAGGAGAAAGCUUUAUGGUUUCCUCCUGUGCGUACUGGGCACGUGAGGGCAGUUUUGCUGAGUCCGGUGCGGGGGACAAGGGCAGCUCUGGGGUCAGCUUUCAGCCAAAGCCUCUGGGGGUUCUGCUGGUGGCAUCUUUGGGGGCAAAGUGUCCCAUGGAAAUUUUGUGUUCCUACACAGGUCCGCCUCGGAUGGUCUCCAUCUCGCAGAGCUCCGUUAGAAAGCAGCAAGCCCCAGCUGAACGUGGACCUGCACUGUCAGCACCUGCCAGGCCCCAAACUGAUGAAAGUGAAGAAGGGAAUCUUCCACAUGGCUGCAUCUUGAAAAGCAGGUGCCGCAGUGAUUGCUUCCUACCCGAACACGCUGCGCUACGCCAAGGGACUGGCCAGGUAGGAUGCAUACAGGGCAGCCACUAGGAAUCUCUGCCUUCUCCCCCGUGCCUGCUUCUGCCUCUCUGUCCUCAGGUAUUUGUUGAGCUGGCUGGAAAUGGUUCUCUUGGCUUGCAGCACCAUCCCAACCUUGGCUGCUCUAAUUCCGCCUGCUUUGAAGGACCGCAGCAAAAGGUUUGUCAGAGAACAGCAGGCUUAGCUGGUGCAGAUAUGCUUCAGCAGCAGACUGUAGUGGUGUCAGCUGAGGGAGUCUGUGAAAGGUAGAGAGGCAGUCAUUUUAUUUUGUCUUUCUGCCAGUUGUCCCAUUGCCCAGAGUAUGUGAUUUGUGAGUUUCCUUUGGCAAAGUUGCUCCAUUGCUCAUAUAUCUCUGAGCAGUGUUUCCAGGUCAUUUGGUCCGCAGGGUGGUGGCCAUCUUUUAUUUCAAGAGGGAGAGGGUUCAGGGGUAGGAUCAGAUGUGUUGAGGAGAUGGCAGUCAGGUGGAGAUCAAGUUAGUGUUGUCAAAUUUAUUUCUAGCAUGGGAAAGGUGAGUAUUAGCGAGAGGAGCAAGCCUGAAAGAUGUCCUUUGAGACAAGGCGAGGAAGAAAAAAGACUUGGGAUGCAACUUUGGCUAUACAGCAAGAUGUGGUAAGAUUCUUCUGAAUUUUUGGGGCCACAACUUUACCAUUAAUGUUUUUAUAAGGAUAUUUCAAGCACACAAUAUAUGGAAAUAUUUCAUUUCCAUAUACAAAAACAAAGGAAAAAAAAAAAGCAGGGUUUGACUGAUGCUUGACUUAAUAGUAUUGUGAGUUGUGAUCCUGAAGAACUGUGUUCAGACAUAACCAAUGCACUGAACCCUGUGAAAGGGAAAUCCCUUCCCAGCAUGAACCCAUUGAAGUUGGUGGAAUUAAAGCAGGUUGUCAUAAAGCCACAGAAUUAAACUAUGGAGUUCAUUCCCACCAUUCAGGUGGCUGCACCACUAAACUGUCCGUGACAUAAAUUAUUUUCAUUGUCCACAAUAGGAUCCAGACAUUAAAUAAGUGGUCUUUAAAUGCUGCUCCUUCUACACCAAGCUGGAUUUGCUUUGCCGUGUGAUACUGCUAUGUUCCAGGUGCCAUGCGUGGUGCCCCACAGGCCUUGCUGCCAGGGUAGUCGAGCCUAGCAUCUUUACUGUGCCCGAUGAAGGAGGUUUAGUCUUCAACCAACCAUUUCUGAGUCUGUAAAUAAACCAAUGUUAAGGAAAAAAGCA